UUUUAACUGGCUCAGAUUGAACGCUGGCGGCAGGCCUAACACAUGCAAGUCGAGCGGUAGAGAGAAGCUUGCUUCUCUUGAGAGCGGCGGACGGGUGAGUAAUGCCUAGGAAUCUGCCUGGUAGUGGGGGAUAACGUUCGGAAACGGACGCUAAUACCGCAUACGUCCUACGGGAGAAAGCAGGGGACCUUCGGGCCUUGCGCUAUCAGAUGAGCCUAGGUCGGAUUAGCUAGUUGGUGAGGUAAUGGCUCACCAAGGCGACGAUCCGUAACUGGUCUGAGAGGAUGAUCAGUCACACUGGAACUGAGACACGGUCCAGACUCCUACGGGAGGCAGCAGUGGGGAAUAUUGGACAAUGGGCGAAAGCCUGAUCCAGCCAUGCCGCGUGUGUGAAGAAGGUCUUCGGAUUGUAAAGCACUUUAAGUUGGGAGGAAGGGUUGUAGAUUAUUC
This 450-nucleotide ribosomal RNA is filed under the name Pseudomonas sp. BR-Subra-68. Its description in RNAcentral is "bacterial SSU rRNA". It matches the Rfam family "Bacterial small subunit ribosomal RNA", at positions 13 to 465 of the family's 1533-position model. The record is from RNAcentral. Lineage: Bacteria; Pseudomonadati; Pseudomonadota; Gammaproteobacteria; Pseudomonadales; Pseudomonadaceae.